AUGGUUGACCAUAGAACAUGCGCUACUUCUGUGUCGUAUGUAGUAUGGUCCACAUCU
RNAcentral lists this microRNA precursor (57 nucleotides) under Mus musculus (house mouse). Lineage: Eukaryota; Metazoa; Chordata; Mammalia; Rodentia; Muridae. RNAcentral also lists the same sequence under 1 other name. The record is from RNAcentral.